Molecule: small nucleolar RNA, 136 nt
Organism: Carassius auratus (goldfish)
Lineage: Eukaryota; Metazoa; Chordata; Actinopteri; Cypriniformes; Cyprinidae
Product: small nucleolar RNA SNORD94
Source: Ensembl
AGGGCGAUGAUGAGUGGCGCAGGGGUACGUACCUCAGCUGAUAAUGGGAGCUGAGUGUUGACUGUUCAAGAUCAGUGGACAUGUGGUCAGCUGGUUGUAGGGCGUCAGCACGAAACUAUCGCCUUAACUGAGCUCC